UUUUUCAUUAAUAUGUUAUUAUUAUAUUGUAUUACUUAUGCUCUUACUAUUUUGUUGGGAUUGUAUUAGAUCUUCUAUUGUAAGCAAAUAUCGAAUCAAUGUCUAUAUAUUUGAGAGACUUGCCUAAGAAAAUGUAAGAAGAGUUAGGCACUUAAUUUGUUCUUAGGAGAAUAAUUUUGUAAGAGUGUUAUUAUUUAUAGCAAAACGGUUUGUUGUGGUUUUACUUGCUAUGAUCACAAAGGGAGGGUGAUUUUGUAAUUGUUGAAGAAAGGGUAUGUUUCUCGCUAAGUCAAGUUCUACACAUAUAGGGAAACUAAAUUACGUAAUUAUCUUCUUGUGUCUUGUGUGUUUACUGCUCUUUAUUUAAUAUUUGGAGUACCCACCUACCCGGGCUCCGAUUUGGUUGUGCAGCUUUUAGUCUUAGCAAUUCCCAUUUUGAUAAAAAGAUACUGAGAGCCACAUGGAUGACACUAUCCCAAUUGAAGCUCCUGGUGCUAAAGAAGCUGGAGAGGACAUUGUUAAUACUUUGUCUCGUGCACAAAGAGUUGGGCUUCCUGAACUCCUUCCUUGUCAGCAUCAACAAGAGGAAGGUUGACGUACGACAAUACAUUGGAGAUGUAGAAAUUGAAGAACCUUGAAGACCGUCUUUUGAUUUUUGCCAAAAAGGGGAGCAGCAUUUUUAAAGUUAUUUUAUUCUCUGA
RNAcentral lists this long non-coding RNA (701 nucleotides) under Gossypium raimondii (Peruvian cotton). RNAcentral describes it as "long non-coding RNA (GRAI_LNC005513)". The record is from RNAcentral. Lineage: Eukaryota; Viridiplantae; Streptophyta; Magnoliopsida; Malvales; Malvaceae.